UACGUAGGGUGCAAGCGUUAAUCGGAAUUACUGGGCGUAAAGCGUGCGCAGGCGGCUUUGCAAGACAGAUGUGAAAUCCCCGGGCUCAACCUGGGAACUGCAUUUGUGACUGCAAGGCUAGAGUACGGCAGAGGGGGAUGGAAUUCCGCGUGUAGCAGUGAAAUGCGUAGAUAUGCGGAGGAACACCAAUGGCGAAGGCGACCACCUGGACUGAUACUGACACUGAGGUGCGAAAGCGUGGGGAGCAAACAGG
Molecule: ribosomal RNA, 253 nt
Filed under: uncultured bacterium
Lineage: Bacteria
Description: partial 16S ribosomal RNA
Rfam family: Bacterial small subunit ribosomal RNA
Source: RNAcentral